UACGUAGGUGGCAAGCGUUGUCCGGAUUUACUGGGCGUAAAGAGCGCGCAGGCGGUCGCUCAAGUCGCGUGUGAAAGCCCCCGGCUCAACUGGGGAGGGUCACGCGAUACUGAUCGACUGGAAGGCAGGAGAGGGUAGUGGAAUUCCCGGUGUAGUGGUGAAAUGCGUAGAUAUCAGGAGGAACACCGGUGGCGAAGGCGGUUCUCUGGGCAUUACCUGACGCUGAGGAGCGAAAGUGUGGGGAGCGAACAGG
This 253-nucleotide ribosomal RNA is filed under the name uncultured bacterium. RNAcentral's name for it is "partial 16S ribosomal RNA". It matches the Rfam family "Bacterial small subunit ribosomal RNA", at positions 524 to 776 of the family's 1533-position model. The record is from RNAcentral.